AUGGCUGUCGUCAGCUCGUGUCGUGAGAUGUUGGGUUAAGUCCCGCAACGAGCGCAACCCAUGUCUUUAGUUGCCAGCAUUCAGUUGGGCACUCUAGAGAGACCGCCGGUGAUAAACCGGAGGAAGGUGUGGAUGACGUCAAGUCAUCAUGCCCCUUACAUCCUGGGCUACACACGUACUACAAUGCUACGGACAAAGGGCAGCAAACUCGCGAGAGCUAGCAAAUCCCAUAAACCGUGGCUCAGUUCAGAUCGUAGGCUGCAACUCGCCUACGUGAAGGAGGAAUCGCUAGUAAUCGCAGGUCAGCAUACUGCGGUGAAUACGUUCCCGGGCCUUGUACACACCGCCCGUCACACCAUGGAAGUUGGCCGUGCCCGAAGUCGUUACUCCAACCCGCAAGGGAGGAGGACGCCGAAGGUGGGGCUGAUGACUGGGGUGAAGUCGUAACAAGGUAGCCGUACCGGAAGGUGCGGCUGGAUCACCUCCUAAC
RNAcentral lists this ribosomal RNA (490 nucleotides) under Synechococcus sp. CCY0451. RNAcentral's name for it is "bacterial SSU rRNA". It matches the Rfam family "Bacterial small subunit ribosomal RNA", at positions 1045 to 1533 of the family's 1533-position model. The record is from RNAcentral. Lineage: Bacteria; Bacillati; Cyanobacteriota; Cyanophyceae; Synechococcales; Synechococcaceae.